This is a non-coding RNA of Cucurbita pepo subsp. pepo (vegetable marrow), 970 nucleotides long. NCBI's taxonomy places the organism in Eukaryota, Viridiplantae, Streptophyta, Magnoliopsida, Cucurbitales, Cucurbitaceae. The record is from RefSeq and is a predicted model, not a curated record.
AGCCCAUCGCCACCAUUGCAGGCAGCCUUUAUGUAUCCCUCAGGUAAACCCAAGUUCUCAUCCAUCACUGCCAUCACCUUUGCAGCUAGCUUCUUCAGCUCCGAUCUAUACUCUGCCAUGGUUUCCCUGCCACAAUAUUCGAAUGUUGGAGGGCCAUUCGUUGUUAUCAUGGAGAAGGAAGACAUCUUCCCAAUCAAGAUUUUCCAGCUUCUCGCCGCUCUUGCGUUCCAGCAAAUCAUUCAGGAGCUUCACAGGAGCUUUUCUGGAAUCCCAUGGUUCACCAGCUGAAAUUCAGAUUUACUGAUAGUGAUGUAAACUCGUGGCUGUGGCAUAAUUCUUAUUAAGCUGGCAAAGUGGAAUUACGCACUCAACCGAGGUAAGUCUCUAAUCCUUCUAAAUGUUUAUGAUAUCGUUAAAAUUUGAAUUUUCUUUUAGGUGGAUUUACUAUGCUAUCACGUUUAAUCAAUCAAUAGGAAGGUUGUAAUCGAGCGUUCUUAAAUGGUAAGGACUAAAUUGAAAUAUUACCUAAAUAUAAGAACUAAAAUGUUUGUGUAGUAGUAAAAUAUGAUAGGUUAAGAUAGUGAUAUGAGAUAAAUAAACUAAGCAAAUGAUAAGGUUAAUAGGCAUGAUAUUAAUCUUACUUAAAACAUAAAUCUAUGCCGACUACCGUUGAUUAUGUUGACUUUUGAUCUUCUAGGUCCUAACUUUGACUCUCACAUGGAUACGCUUUUGAUUAUCAAUGGUUUACCUAAAUAUUUAAUUACUUCUUACACAUAGUUUGUGGGUUAAGGAAAAUAGGCAGCAUCGUAUCAUGGCUUUUAAGUUUUAACAUACAUAAAGGGAAAUAACCUUAAUUAUUGGAUUAAAUAUUAAUAAAAUAUUUAAUAGAUAAUCAUUAAAUUACACACUUUUGGUUGGCCUAUUUUUGUAAAUCACCAUAUUUUAAAAUAAUUUUUAACACUUUUCUUAA